AACGAACGCUGGCGGCGCGUCUUAAGCAUGCAAGUCGAGCGGCAAGCGGUAGCAAUAUCGCCUAGAGCGGCGGACUGGUGAGUAACACGUGGGUGAUCUACCUUUGGGAUGGGGAUAGCCUGUGGAAACACAGGAUAAUACCGAAUACGUUGGCUUGAUUACGGUCAGGUCAGGAAAGGUCCGUUUGGACCGCCCGAAGAUGAGCCCGCGGCUGAUUAGCUUGUUGGCGGGGUAAUGGCCCACCAAGGCGAUGAUCAGUAGGCGGCCUGAGAGGGUGUACGCCCACAUUGGGACUGAGAUACGGCCCAAACUCCUACGGGUGGCAG
This 326-nucleotide ribosomal RNA is filed under the name uncultured Spirochaetota bacterium. RNAcentral describes it as "bacterial SSU rRNA". It matches the Rfam family "Bacterial small subunit ribosomal RNA", at positions 29 to 351 of the family's 1533-position model. Lineage: Bacteria; Pseudomonadati; Spirochaetota. The record is from RNAcentral.